AUCUUUGCGCUUGGGGCAAUGACGCAGCUAAUGAGGUACUAACCGAGGCGCGUCUAUUGCUGGUUGAAAACUAUUUCCAAACCCCCUCAUUGUUUCUAGGCUUGACCUAGGUCUUUGAGAAUUUCUGGAAGGACUCCCUUCGGGGUAAAGGCCUACAAUCUUCACAGUU
This 169-nucleotide small nuclear RNA is filed under the name Brassica napus (rape). RNAcentral's name for it is "snRNA U4". The stretch from base 1 to 152 matches the Rfam family "U4 spliceosomal RNA". Rfam says of the family: U4 small nuclear RNA (U4 snRNA) is a component of the major U2-dependent spliceosome. The structure of U4 snRNA from yeast and human has been reported. The record is from RNAcentral. Lineage: Eukaryota; Viridiplantae; Streptophyta; Magnoliopsida; Brassicales; Brassicaceae.